AAGACAUCCCUUUGCUCUUCCUGCGUCUUCCACCAUGAUUGUGAGGCCUCCCCAGCCAUGAGGAACUGCCAUCAGCAGAUUGAAGCUGCACACAUCACUGGGAUGCUGCUGCCGGAGGAUUCGGUCUAAUCCGGGAGCAUCUGGCUGGGCAGUGGGCAGCGUCUGCAGUCGUGGCUGCUUGAAGGUGACGCCUUCUGGGCCCCAUCUGUCCUUCCUCACAGCACCCUCAGCGCCUUAAGCCACCACCCUCAGCCACAAUUUGGCAGAAGGAUGGAGUCCAAGGUCUCAGAAGGUGGCCUGAACGUGACCCUCACCAUCCGCCUGCUGAUGCAUGGAAAGGAAGUUGGAAGCAUCAUCGGGAAGAAAGGAGAAACUGUGAAGAAGAUGCGUGAGGAGAGUGGUGCAAGGAUCAACAUCUCAGAGGGAAACUGCCCAGAGAGGAUCGUGACCAUCACAGGCCCCACAGAUGCCAUCUUCAAGGCCUUUGCCAUGAUCGCAUACAAGUUUGAGGAGGUAACCUGCACCCCAGGCACCUCUGCCAGCCUGGCGGGGGCAGGCCUGGUCCCAGCUGGCUCCCUGGGUCCUCUCCCCUACAGCUGGACUAGGGGAUGCCCCAGCCCGCCCAGGCAGCCCCAUAACUACGCUCACCUCCUUUGCCUCCCAGGGCCUCUCCCCAUCUCUGGUUCACCUGGUCAGGGGCCAGUGUCUCUCCAUCCUUCUGAAGCCAGCUACUCCUGGCUGUGUGCCUUAGGUCCACCUCCCUCAGCUUCCCCAGACCCUGCUCUGGGGCACCGAGUAUGGCCUCAGAACACCCCACCCUUCCCCUGGGGCAUGCAGCCUGGCUGACCCUUGGGCCACACCAGCGCCUCCAGCCAGCUCUGUCACAUGGCUCUCGAUGAAGCCCUGGCUGGCACAGCCCUGGUCCUCAGCCACACAGCACCAUGCCUCUGGGCCCCCCGUGAGAGCUGAUGUAGCCUGGCUGA
RNAcentral lists this small RNA (983 nucleotides) under Pongo abelii (Sumatran orangutan). RNAcentral describes it as "retained intron". The record is from RNAcentral. Lineage: Eukaryota; Metazoa; Chordata; Mammalia; Primates; Hominidae.